This is an RNA transcript of Lolium perenne, 2770 nucleotides long. It is a transcript of the gene named probable amidase At4g34880, with no coding region annotated. Lineage: Eukaryota; Viridiplantae; Streptophyta; Magnoliopsida; Poales; Poaceae. The record is from RefSeq and is a predicted model, not a curated record.
UAUCACCAUUGAGGCAUUGACCGGGCUAGUGGCAAAUUCCCCCCCACAUCGCCACCAAGUGGCCGGCCAUGGUGCUGCGGUAUCUCGUACCGCUGCUCCUCGCGGCGGCCGCUGCCACCACCGCGCCCGCCACUUUCGUGCUCGAGGAGGCCACCAUCGAGUCCAUCCACCGCGCCUUCGCCGGCGGCGCGCUCACCUCGCGCGGCCUCCUCGAGCUCUACCUGCGCCGCAUCGCGUCCCUCGACCCGGCCCUCCACGCCGUCGUAGAGCUCGACGCCGACGGCACGCUCGCCGCCGCCGAACGCGCCGACGCCGCCCGCCUCCUCGGAGGCGCCGCGCUCCCGCCGCUCCACGGCAUUCCCGUGCUCAUCAAGGACAACAUCGCCGCGGCCGGCGCCUUGAACGCGACGGCCGGUUCGCUCGCGCUGGUCGGGUCCCGCCCCGCGCGCGACGCCGGCGUGGUCGCGCGGCUCCGGCGCGCCGGCGCGGUGGUCCUCGGCACCGCCAGCCUCAGCGAGUGGUGUAACUUCCGCGCCCCCGGCGUCCCCGCCGGCUGGAGCCCCCGCGGCGGCCAGGGCCUGAACCCAUACGUGCCGUCAGCGACGACCUGCUCCUCCAGCAGCGGCUCCGCCAUUGCGGCGGCGGCAAACAUGGUGUCGGUGACGAUUGGAACUGAGACGGAUGGGUCAAUCAUGUGCCCGUCCAGCUUCAACUCCGUUGUCGGGAUUAAGCCCACGGUCGGCCUCACAAGCCGUGCCGGCGUCAUCAUCAUUUCUCUAAGGAUGGACACAGUUGGACCAAUAUGUAGGACUGUUUCAGAUGCAGUAAAUGUGUUGGAAGCAAUCGUUGGUUAUGAUCCACGGGAUGCAGAGGCAACUCGCAUGGCAUCUCAGUAUAUCCCAGAAGGCGGUUACGGGCAAUUCUUGAACAUAGAUGGUCUAAGAGGCAAGAGGAUUGGUAUUCUCAGGAAGGAUUUCUUCCGGUUUCCCCCAGGAUCUAUCCAAGAAAAGGUGUUUGGGGAUCACUUCAACACUAUGAGGCAAUUGGGGGCCAUCUUGGUGGACAAUCUUGAGAUACCAAGCAUCAAAGUCAUCAACGAUGCAGUACAAAGCGGCGAACGUGCUCUUAUGCUCGCUGAAUUCAAGCUGUCCCUCAACUCUUACUUGUCUGAACUGGCCACCACACCUGUUAAAUCAUUAUCAGACAUAAUUGAUUUCAACAACAAGCAUCCUGUGGAGGAAAGGAUGGCUGAAUUUGGCCAGAGCUACCUUGUGCAGUCUGAAGCAACAAACGGCAUUGGUCCGACUGAGGAGUGUGCGAUUGCCAAACUGAAUGAGCUGUGUAAGGAGGGCCUUGAGAAGAUUAUGCUAGUGAAUCGAUUGGAUGCAAUCGUCGCUCCUGGAGCAUCUGCCCAUAGCCUGCUCGCCAUCGGUGGCUACCCGGCGAUCACCGUCCCGGCCGGAUACGCGUCGGAUGGCGUUCCUUUUGCAAUCUGCUUUGGAGGGUUGAAAGGUUCAGAGCCGAAGCUUAUUGAGAUUUCUUAUUCCUUCGAGCAGGCAACGAAAGUCAGGAGACCUCCACCAGUAUUGCAGCAUUCUGCCCUUUGAUUGUAGUGUUGUUUUUACCUGAUUGUAUCAUUUUCAAGUCUGAAAGAAGAAAUAACACUUUCUUGUUCAGGCGUUAUUCAACGCUGGGCUCUUCCAGUGGAGGAGACCAGAAAACCUUGUAGUUCUUGCCGUGCAUGUUUGAUCAUCAGGGCAUUCUAACCCACGUCGUUGAUGCUGACGAUGCCGGCGUACAGCCGGACCCUGUCCAAGCGUCUUGGGAUAUGCACGAUCUUAUACAUGGUGAUGGCGCUGGGCAGAGGAGAGGCUUGAUGCGGCUGCGCACCUCCGUGGUGCAGCUGUGCGGAAGCCCCAGCAGACUCGCCUCUAUAACGUUUGUUUGAGUUGCCCGCGAUGACCGGCUGCGUCGUUUGCCUCUAGUUGUACUUGGUUUGCAGCGAUUGAGACAACCUGUUUCGUUUGUUUCCAUUAGAAGUGAGCGCAAUGGCUGGCACCGGAGAAUACGUGGCUGAUCAUCCAACUCCUCUUCUAGAUCAGCAAGCAAGCAAUAAGUAGUAGUACCGAUCUCCUCACCCCUUGCCCUAUCCUCUUAGUGGUGCAACAGUCGAUCAAUCAAGGAAUCCCUUCUGGGACGGUGGCGACCAUGCCUUCAGGUGGCUAGAGCACCAGCGUCGCACCUAGGCUAACCUUGAUCUUCCAGAUGGAAAACCUCCCGGAGGUAACUCCUCUCUCUUCUGUUAGACUAUUCGGUCUGUGUUUCAGUUAAGCACUUCGCGUGUGUUUGAUGCUCGCUCCACCUUCUAUAUAUCAUACUCUUCAGCAGAAAUUCAAUUUGGGACAUGGGAGCAUCGAGUUACCGAAAUUAGCACCAUCAAUUCUCAAAAUAGCCUUGGGAUCCAGUUAAAGGUUCAAUGUAUAAUGAUUCGGGGGCCAUGUUUUGGCUCCGAAGUGCAUAUGAACCUAUUAUGCAAAAUGCCUCGGAAACAAAUAUAAAAAUAUUGAAAAAAAUCCAAAAUAAGCUCAGCGGGAAAUCAGAUGGCGCGGGAGAACCUGGCCUGCAGUUGUAAGAUCAAAAUCACUGCAGGAAGGAGCUACUACAACGUCAAGGAUAAUUUGGGAUUUGACAGAACAUGCCCUUCAUGUUUUUUUUUAAAAAUAAUUGAUAUGCACAUGAUUCUUGAACAGCUAAGUUCCAUUUUCUCGCA